CAGUCGCCACGGUAAUACAGAGGGUGCGAGCGUUAAUCGGAUUUACUGGGCGUAAAGCGUGCGUAGGCGGCUUUUUAAGUCGGAUGUGAAAUCCCUGAGCUUAACUUAGGAAUUGCAUUCGAUACUGGGAAGCUAGAGUAUGGGAGAGGAUGGUAGAAUUCCAGGUGUAGCGGUGAAAUGCGUAGAGAUCUGGAGGAAUACCGAUGGCGAAGGCAGCCAUCUGGCCUAAUACUGACGCUGAGGUACGAAAGCAUGGGGAGCAAACAGGAUUAGAGACCCCAGUAGUCCCUGUCUAUUAUAC
This 301-nucleotide ribosomal RNA is filed under the name uncultured bacterium. Its description in RNAcentral is "partial 16S ribosomal RNA". It matches the Rfam family "Bacterial small subunit ribosomal RNA", at positions 509 to 807 of the family's 1533-position model. The record is from RNAcentral.